RNA transcript from Entelurus aequoreus (snake pipefish), 5090 nucleotides. It is a transcript of the gene named zinc finger DHHC-type palmitoyltransferase 23b, with no coding region annotated. The record is from RefSeq and is a predicted model, not a curated record. NCBI's taxonomy places the organism in Eukaryota, Metazoa, Chordata, Actinopteri, Syngnathiformes, Syngnathidae. The transcript has 10 exons.
UUCAUCUUUGACUGCUUUUUGUGACACCUUUACUCGCUGGAAUGGAGACUUUGUCCAACAUUGAGCCCAAAUGAACGAUUAAGUGUCGAACUUGUUCCUCAGUGGUUACAGGAAGUAGUAAAAGUUUCUUUAUUUUUUAUUUUUACCAACCUAGGAAACAUAAAACGUAUCAUUUAGAUUGUUUUGCUAAGCGACGUCGCCAUGGCGACAGUAAAGCAGGGCGGCACAUGACCUCGCAAUUACAAACUUUAUCGGGACAUUUUUCUUUUAAUGUGAUCACUUGGACAAGUUCACCAACGUUUUUUUUUUAUCGAAUUUGAUUAAUUUGCAUUCGUUUAGACUGGGCUUGUCUGCCAUUUUGUUCUCUACUGCUCCCAAACUACUAUACAGUACUACAUAUUAUACUUUCUACAAUAUUAUACUAUACUAUGCAAUUCUAAAAUACACUAUAUUAUACUACAAUAUACUAUGCUAUUCUACAAUACACUAUACUAUACUACAAUAUACCAUACUAUGCUAUUCUACAAUACAUUAUACUAUGCAAUUUUACAAUAUUCUAUACUAUGCUGUUUUACAAUAUACUAUACUAUGUUAUACUACAAUAUACUAUGCUAUGUUAUACUACAAUAUACUAUACUAUGUUAUACUACAAUAUACUAUACUAUGUUAUACUACAAUAUACUAUACUAUACCAACGUCAGGGCUCACUCAAAUGUUACUACUAAACUGUAUAAGUUACCCUACUUUGAUUUUAAUCGUAUUCAAUAAUUAUAGUCCUGAAAUCUAUAAAUAAAUACAAUGAAAUAGAAAUAAAUAAUUUAUUAUAUAAAUGUUUCUUAGAUAAACUGUUAAAAAAUAAAUUGCAAAUGAAAAUACAGGUUCACCACUUUAGUCAGCCCUAAUGGUUAAGAAACACUGCACUUUACUUUAGUAUGCUAUACUACAAUAUACUAUGCUAUAAUAUACUAUGCUAUGCUACAACAUACACUACACUACUACUGCCAUAUUAAACUAUACACAAAUGCAAGCAUGUACCAAACAUGGAACCCCACACAGAGAUUUUUGACAGGAUCAUAAUGUGGCUUCAACAUUUGUAUUUGCAAUCACAUCUAGUCCACCUUCUGGUGACCAUGAAGACAAGGCGGGAGGAGGAAGAGUACAUCAACAAUCACAUCUAGUCCACCUUCUGGUGACCAUGAAGACAAGGCGGGAGGAGGAAGAGUACAUCAACAAUCACAUCUAGUCCACCUUCUGGUGAGCAUGAAGACAAGGCGGGAGGAGGAAGAGUACAUCAACAAUCACAUCUAGUCCACCUUCUGGUGAGCAUGAAGACAAGGCGGGAGGAGGAAGAGUACAUCAACAAUCACUUCUGGUGAGCAUGAAGACAAGGCGGGAGGAGGAAGAGUACAUCAACAAUCACAUCUAGUCCACCUUCUGGUGAGCAUGAAGACAAGGCGGGAGGAGGAAGAGUACAUCAACAAUCACUUGUGGUGAGCAUGAAGACAAGGCGGGAGGAGGAAGAGUACAUCAACAAUCACAUCUAGUCCACCUUCUGGUGAGCAUGAAGACAAGGCGGGAGGAGGAAGAGUACAUCAACAAUCACUUGUGGUGAGCAUGAAGACAAGGCGGGAGGAGGAAGAGUACAUCAACAAUCACAUCUAGUCCACCUUCUGGUGAGCAUGAAGACAAGGCGGGAGGAGGAAGAGUACAUCAACAAUCACAUCUAGUCCACCUUCUGGUGAGCAUGAAGACAAGGCGGGAGGAGGAAGAGUACAUCAACAAUCACUUCUGGUGAGCAUGAAGACAAGGCGGGAGGAGGAAGAGUACAUCAACAAUCACAUCUAGUCCACCUUCUGGUGAGCAUGAAGACAAGGCGGGAGGAGGAAGAGUACAUCAACAAUCACUUGUGGUGAGCAUGAAGACAAGGCGGGAGGAGGAAGAGUACAUCAACAAUCACUUGUGGUGAGCAUGAAGACAAGGCGGGAGGAGGAAGAGUACAUCAACAAUCACAUCUAGUCCACCUUCUGGUGAGCAUGAAGACAAGGCGGGAGGAGGAAGAGUACAUCAACAAUCACUUCUGGUGAGCAUGAAGACAAGGCGGGAGGAGGAAGAGUACAUCAACAAUCACAUCUAGUCCACCUUCUGGUGAGCAUGAAGACAAGGCGGGAGGAGGAAGAGUACAUCAACAAUCACAUCUAGUCCACCUUCUGGUGAGCAUGAAGACAAGGCGGGAGGAGGAAGAGUACAUCAACAAUCACUUCUGGUGAGCAUGAAGACAAGGCGGGAGGAGGAAGAGUACAUCAACAAUCACAUCUAGUCCACCUUCUGGUGAGCAUGAAGACAAGGCGGGAGGAGGAAGAGUACAUCAACAAUCACUUCUGGUGAGCAUGAAGACAAGGCGGGAGGAGGAAGAGUACAUCAACAAUCACAUCUAGUCCACCUUCUGGUGAGCAUGAAGACAAGGCGGGAGGAGGAAGAGUACAUCAACAAUCACUUGUGGUGAGCAUGAAGACAAGGCGGGAGGAGGAAGAGUACAUCAACAAUCACUUGUGGUGAGCAUGAAGACAAGGCGGGAGGAGGAAGAGUACAUCAACAAUCACUUGUGGUGAGCAUGAAGACAAGGCGGGAGGAGGAAGAGUACAUCAACAAUCACUUGUGGUGAGCAUGAAGACAAGGCGGGAGGAGGAAGAGUACAUCAACAAUCACUUGUGGUGAGCAUGAAGACAAGGCGGGAGGAGGAAGAGUACAUCAACAAUCACUUGUGGUGAGCAUGAAGACAAGGCGGGAGGAGGAAGAGGACGCCUUGUGCUGCUGCGAGUACAUCAACAGACGUGGCGAGCGCAGCCAUGUGGCCGCCUGCUGCUGCGACUGUGAGGACCUGGACGACAUGUGUGACCGCUUUUUGAAAAGGGAGCCUCAGAAUCCAGAAUCUCUGUCCCAGGUGGCCGCCGUCAUCCACGACCGUCUCCGUCUUCCCUGGCUGUCGGGCGGCGCCCAAAAAGUGGAGCUGUCCAUCAUCCCUCCUCUGCUCAUCCUGCCGGCACUGCUGCACCUGGCUGCCGUCCAUGUCCUUCUGGGCGUGCUGGUUCUGUGGCUUGUGCCCGUCCUGGUGCUGUGGUACUACUACUUCACCCAGCGCAAGAAGGGACGGACGCUGUUCUUCCUCAGCCUGGCUCUUUUCUCCUUGGCCUACAUGUACUACAUGUUCAUCACUGAGGUGCUGCCCCGCGGGGAUGUGGGCCCCUCCCAGGUUGCCCUGGUAACAGCGGGUGUCACGCUCACCCUGCUCGGCCUGGUCCGCACCAAGAGAGACCCGGGCGUCAUGCUCCCGCAGCCUCCUCUCAGUGGCGGGAGGCCGGACGUCAAAGUAGGCGACCAGCUGGGACGCUCGCUAGAGGCGGAGCUUAGCCGGUGUCCGCUAUGUGGGGUGGCGCGGCCCCUGAGGGCGGGACAUUGUCGCAUCUGUGGCGUGUGCGUGCUGCGUCACGACCACCACUGUGUCUGGAUCAAUCACUGCGUGGGCCAGGACAACCACGCCAGCUUCCUGAUGACCCUGCUCAUCUUCCUGUUGACCUCGCUGUACGGCAUCAGCCUGGUGCUGCGGAGCGUGUGUCCCGCACAGAACCUCCUCCUCGCCCUGAUGUACUGCCCUGGCGUCUACCAGCAAUACAGCACCGCCUUGUGCUUCACGUGCGCCUGGUACUGCAGCGUGGUGACCGGCGGCCUGCUGCACCUGCUCCUGAUGCAGCUGCUCAACAUCAGCUACAACGUGACCCAGCGUGAGGCGCGGGCCGCCCUCAGGAACGCUUCCGGCCGCAGGGCCUUGUGGGGCCUCGUCGUGGACACCGGCGUCUACUCGCGUGGUUUCCCAGGCAACUGGGCCGAAUUUGUCAGCAUGGCGGGCCGAAGGACUCCCCGCUCCUCCGGCCGGACCGACGUGGUUUCCAUCCAGGAAGUCUGCGUGGCAUCCAGUGACGCCUGAAUGACAUUUGGCACAAGGCCCCCUGGAUGUCUGGUGCCCAAUUUGGAGAUCCAAAGGAGCUCCGCCCUGUGACGUUGGGCGAGGCUCCAUUUAGGAUCCGUCUCUACGGCAGUCACCCGGACGGAAGACCAUCCGUGCAGGAGGAAAUGCUGAACCAGAUUUUGAAGGGCCUCAACUUCUUCCCGUGUCAAAUUGGGAGCAACCACAGGUGCGCAGCCCGAACCGGACACGGAAAGCCCAUCGGACCGGACCAUAGCCUGGAAUUCCAGAGGCAUAAGUCCAGUGUCCCGGGGAACAAAUGUGACCAAUCGGGGGACUCCUGAGGAAGCAUCUCCCCAGGGAGCGUCUUCCGCAAAAGGUAUGAAGCUGGAGCGGGGAUGAGACGGGGGUGGCGGCGGCGAUAGGAGAGAUGCUUGGGGACAACAUCGGAGCAAGAUCCUGUCCCUGUUCCUGGUCCUGAAGAUCAAUGAGGAGGGGCGAAUGAAGCGUGGGCCCCAUUGGUGAUCCCAGAGGAAGUAGCCUGCGGCGUGCAGGAAUGGGCCGGGUCGGGAGAUCCUCACCGAUGAUGUCUUCGGCGGGUCUGCUGUCCGGAGCUCGGCGCGUGGUCAUCCUCUGCUCCUUGGGAGGUUCCGCCACUGCAGGAGUCGGCGGCCGGCGAGGAAGGAAGAUGGGGGCCAUCCGGAUUGGAGGGAUUGCUGGACGGUCCGCCUCGGGAGACCAAUCUGGGGCGACAGCGUCGGUGCUGGUAGCCACCGAAGCCCGAGUGACUAUCUGAGCUGGAGGGCUUCUAGCCCGUACCCAGUCAGGAGCCCCAACUGGGCCCAUAGGGUCAGUGAGGGUACCCACCGAUACCAGGGUGGUAGUCUGGACCGGUAUAGACCGGGCCGGGUGUACCACCUCCGGUGCCGGGGUGGCAGUCUGGACUGGUAAGGGCUGGGCCGGGCGUGCCCCCCCAGCGUUGACAGAGGGGUCGGCAAAGGCUGCGACAAUGAGGGCCUCGGCCUGCUUGAGGGUGUCCCCCAACAAUCUUUUCCCCAAGUGUUUUUUUGCCCAUGUAACAGCCAGCUCAAAAGCGGGUCUCCAAUUCUCGUGAAUAAAAUUGGUUAUC